UGGAAGUAGACGGCAUUUGCACUUUGCAGAGUGUAGCAGAACAGAAAGUAUCGACGGUAAUUAUUAUACCGUUUGAAUUUUUUUUCUUAUUUAUUAUUUUGGAAAUAAAAAUAACAAAUAAGAAUAGAGUUGUAUAAAGUUGUUUCUUCAACUAAAAUCCAAUUGGAUUAUUAAAAAAGGCAUAAUUGCUGAAGAGCUCAAGUGACAUCAUCAUUAAGUGAAACAAAUGAUUGUUCCAAUUUUCUUUUCAAUAUACCAAAUGGAUAACCAUUCAUUGUACGACUUGUUGCAUGUUUUAACUAGCUCAGAAAUGGAAUGCAAAGCUGAGAUUGCAAUUCUUCUUCUAUACAGAAACUGGCAAGUUUGCAAAAAAUUAUAUUGGCUGUGAAUUUCAUUCUCUUAAAGCAAAAUAGUUAUUAAAUUUUAAAAAAAUUUCAUACAUCAACGUACACAAAUAUGUAUUAAAAAAAAGUUAAAAAAUAUUUGGUCUAAUACAAAAAAAUGCCUUUUCAAAGCGAAAGCAAGAAUCUAUUUACUUUCCAUUAUCA
Episyrphus balteatus (marmalade hoverfly) is the source of this 548-nucleotide long non-coding RNA. RefSeq lists it as uncharacterized. The record is from RefSeq and is a predicted model, not a curated record. The transcript is spliced from 4 exons. NCBI's taxonomy places the organism in Eukaryota, Metazoa, Arthropoda, Insecta, Diptera, Syrphidae.